AUACGUAGGUGGCAAGCGUUGUCCGGAUUUACUGGGUGUAAAGGGCGGGUAGGCGGAGAUGCAAGUCAGGAGUGAAAUCUAGGGGCUCAACCCCAAAACCCCUUUUGAACCUGUACCCCUUGAGAAUCGGAGAGGAAGCCGGAAUUCCUAGUGAAGCGGUGAAAUGCGUAGAUAUUAGGAGGAAAACCAGUGGCGAAGGCGGCCUGCUGGACGACAACUGACGCUGAGGCGCGAAAGCGUGGGGAGCAAACAGGAUUAGAUGCCCUGGUAGUCCACGCUGUAAACGAUGAAUACUAGGUGUGGGGGGACUGACCCCCUCCGUGCCGCAGUUAACACAAUAAGUAUUCCACCUGGGGAGUACGAUCGCAAGAUUGAAACUCAAAUGAAUUGGCGGGG
Molecule: ribosomal RNA, 396 nt
Filed under: uncultured bacterium
Lineage: Bacteria
Description: partial 16S ribosomal RNA
Rfam family: Bacterial small subunit ribosomal RNA
Source: RNAcentral